CAUAAUCAUUAGUUUCUUAAUUAGAUACUGGAAUGAAGGGUUGGACGAGAAAAUAACUGUCUCUUUAUAAUUUAUAUAGAAUUUUAUUUUUAAGUUAAAAAGCUUAAAUAAAUUUAAAAGACGAGAAGACCCUAUAGAGUUUUAUAUAAUUUACAUUAAUAUUUAAAUUUGAUUUUUUAUUUAUUUAAUUUAAAUUAUAUUUUGUUGGGGUGAUGAAAAAAUUUAAUUAACUUUUAUUUUAUACAAACAUUAAUUUAUGAAUUAUUGAUCCAUUAAAUUUAAUGAUUAAAAGAUCAAAUUACCUUAGGGAUAACAGCGUUAUUUCUUUUUAGAGUUCUAAUCGAUAAAGAAGUUUGCGACCUCGAUGUUGGAUUAAAAUAUAAUUUUGGUGUAGAAGCUAAAAUAUUAGGUCUGUUCGACCUUUAAAAUUUUACAUGAUCUGAGUUUAAACCGGUGUAAGCCAGGUUGGUUUCUAUCUUUAAAUAAAAAUAUAAUAUUUUAGUACGAAAGGACCAAAUAUUUAUAAUAGUUAU
This 533-nucleotide ribosomal RNA is filed under the name Stethusa spuriella. RNAcentral describes it as "partial 16S ribosomal RNA". The stretch from base 309 to 467 matches the Rfam family "Bacterial large subunit ribosomal RNA", at positions 2473 to 2632 of the family's 2925-position model. The record is from RNAcentral. Lineage: Eukaryota; Metazoa; Arthropoda; Insecta; Coleoptera; Staphylinidae.